This 470-nucleotide ribosomal RNA is filed under the name uncultured Paracoccaceae bacterium. RNAcentral describes it as "bacterial SSU rRNA". It matches the Rfam family "Bacterial small subunit ribosomal RNA", at positions 355 to 849 of the family's 1533-position model. Lineage: Bacteria; Pseudomonadati; Pseudomonadota; Alphaproteobacteria; Rhodobacterales; Paracoccaceae. The record is from RNAcentral.
UGGGGAAUCUUAGACAAUGGGCGCAAGCCUGAUCUAGCCAUGCCGCGUGAGUGAUGAAGGCCCUAGGGUCGUAAAGCUCUUUCACCUGUGAAGAUAAUGACGGUAUCAGUAGAAGAAACCCCGGCUAACUCCGUGCCAGCAGCCGCGGUAAUACGGAGGGGGUUAGCGUUGUUCGGAAUUACUGGGCGUAAAGCGUACGUAGGCGGAUUAAUAAGUUAGAGGUGAAAUCCCAGGGCUCACCCUGGAACUGCCUUUAAAACUGUUAGUCUUGAGAUCGAGAGAGGUGAGUGGAAUUCCAAGUGUAGAGGUGAAAUUCGUAGAUAUUUGGAGGAACACCAGUGGCGAAGGCGGCUCACUGGCUCGAUACUGACGCUGAGGUACGAAAGUGUGGGGAGCAAACAGGAUUAGAUACCCUGGUAGUCCACACCGUAAACGAUGAAUGCCAGACGUCAGCAAGCAUGCUGUGUCUG